This 497-nucleotide ribosomal RNA is filed under the name uncultured bacterium. RNAcentral's name for it is "partial 16S ribosomal RNA". It matches the Rfam family "Bacterial small subunit ribosomal RNA", at positions 28 to 507 of the family's 1533-position model. The record is from RNAcentral.
GAUGAACGCUGGCGGCGUGCCUAAUACAUGCAAGUCGAGCGAACAGAUGAUGAUCUUGCUCCUCGGACGUUAGCGGCGGACGUGUGAGUAACACGUGUAUAACCCACCUAUAAGACUGGUAUAACUUCGGGAAACCGGAGCUAAUACCGUAUAAGAUAUUGAACCGCAGUGGUCAAUAGUGAAAGACGGUUUUGGGGUCACUUAUAGCGGGAUCUGCGCCGCAUUAGGUAGUUGGUAAGGUAACGGCUUACGAAGGCAAGGAUGCGUAGACGAACUGAGGGGGUGGUCGGCCACCCGGGAACUGAGACACGGUCAAGACUCCUACGGGAGGCAGCAGUAGGGAAUCUUCCGCAAUGGGCGAAAGCAUGACGGAGCAGCGCCGCGUGAGUGAUGACGGUCUUCGGAUCGUAAAACUCUGUUAUUAGGGAAGAACAGAUGUGUAAGUAAAUAUGCACGUCUUGACGGUAACUAAUAAGAAAGCCACGGCUAACUACGUG